Molecule: unclassified non-coding RNA, 195 nt
Filed under: Glomus sp.
Lineage: Eukaryota; Fungi; Glomeromycota; Glomeromycetes; Glomerales; Glomeraceae
Description: partial contains 5.8S ribosomal RNA and internal transcribed spacer 2
Rfam family: 5.8S ribosomal RNA (bases 1-65)
Source: RNAcentral
GUGAAUCAUCGAAUUUUUGAACGCAAAUUGCACUCUCCUCGGAGAGUAUGCCUGUUUGAGGGUCAGCCUAAAAAAAAAAAAUCUACAUCGUUUCUGUUUCGCGGUGACGUUAGUUGUAAAUUUUGUCAUUUUUAACCUUUUGUUUUUUUAAUGAUUUUAUAUUUUUUUGUGACCCCCUUAACGUUUCUAUGAUUU